GCCCGGCUAGCUCAAUGGUUAGAGCAUUUCACUUCUAUAUCAUUAUUGAUAAUGAAAAGGUUGCGAGUUCGAGUCUCGCGUUGGGUU
This is a non-coding RNA of Xylariaceae sp. AK1471, 87 nucleotides long. NCBI's taxonomy places the organism in Eukaryota, Fungi, Ascomycota, Sordariomycetes, Xylariales, Xylariaceae. The record is from the annotation of a GenBank genome assembly.